GCUCUGGGAUAGCUCAGUUGGUAGAGCAUGAGAUUCUUAAUCUUAAUCUCAGGUCAGGGUUGUUGUGGGUUCAAGAUCUAUGUUGGGCA
This is a non-coding RNA of Podarcis lilfordi (Lilford's wall lizard), 89 nucleotides long. The record is from the annotation of a GenBank genome assembly. Lineage: Eukaryota; Metazoa; Chordata; Lepidosauria; Squamata; Lacertidae.